UGCCAGCCGCCGCGGUAAUACGGAGGGGGCUAGCGUUGUUCGGAAUUACUGGGCGUAAAGCGCACGUAGGCGGACCAGUCAGUGAGGGGUGAAAUCCCAGGGCUCAACCCUGGAACUGCCUUUCAUACUGCUGGUCUGGAGGACAGGAGAGGCGAGCGGAAUUCCGAGUGUAGAGGUGAAAUUCGUAGAUAUUCGGAGGAACACCCGUGGCGAAGGCGGCUCGCUGGCCUGUAUCUGACGCUGAGGUGCGAAAGCGUGGGGAGCAAACAGGAUUAGAUA
RNAcentral lists this ribosomal RNA (279 nucleotides) under uncultured bacterium. Its description in RNAcentral is "partial 16S ribosomal RNA". It matches the Rfam family "Bacterial small subunit ribosomal RNA", at positions 506 to 784 of the family's 1533-position model. The record is from RNAcentral.